This is a long non-coding RNA of Aphis gossypii (cotton aphid), 318 nucleotides long. RefSeq lists it as uncharacterized. NCBI's taxonomy places the organism in Eukaryota, Metazoa, Arthropoda, Insecta, Hemiptera, Aphididae. The record is from RefSeq and is a predicted model, not a curated record. The transcript has 3 exons.
AUUGUUAGUAGGUAGAUACCUACCUGAAUUAAAUUUUACAUUAAAUUUAGAUGUGAAUGUUGAAAAAAGAAGUGUAAGUGAUCAAAGUAGUGUUGAUUUGGAAAAUAUCACAAAUAAAACUAUCCCAGAUGUGAAUGUUGAAAAAAAUAGUAUAGAUGACCAAAGUAGUGUUGAUUUGGAAAAUACCACAAAUAAAACUAUCCCAGAUGUGAAUGUUGAAAAAGUAGUAUAGAUGACCAAAGUAGUGUUGAUUUGGAAAAUACCACAAAUAAAACUAUCCCAGGUAAAUUAUUAAGUGUAUUACCUAUUAUGUAUUUU